AACUGUGCAAAGGUCGCAUAAUCAUUAGUCUUUUAAUUGAAGGCUGGAAUGAAUGGUUGAAUGAGAUAUUAACUGUUUCAUAUAAAUUAAUAAUAAAAUUUUAUUUUUUAGUUAAAAAGCUAAAAUUUAAUUAAAAGACGAGAAGACCCUAUAAAUCUUUACAUUUAAUUAUAUAAUUAUUAUAUUGAUUAUUUAAAUUUUUAUAGAAUUAAAUAUUUUAUUGGGGUGAUAUUAAAAUUUAAAUAACUUUUAAUUUAUAAAAUACAAAAAUUAUUGAAUUAUUGAUCCAUAAAUAAUGAUUAAGAAAUUAAGUUACUUUAGGGAUAACAGCGUAAUUUUUUUAGAGAGUUCAUA
RNAcentral lists this ribosomal RNA (354 nucleotides) under Melaloncha ronnai. RNAcentral describes it as "partial 16S ribosomal RNA". Lineage: Eukaryota; Metazoa; Arthropoda; Insecta; Diptera; Phoridae. The record is from RNAcentral.